AAUGGAGGAAACUCUGAUGCAGCGAUGCCGCGAGAGUGAAGAAGGCCCUUGGGUUGUAAAGCUCUUUCGUCGGGGAAGAAAAUGACUGUACCCGAAUAAGAAGGUCCGGCUAACUUCGUGCCAGCAGCCGCGGUAAUACGAAGGGACCUAGCGUAGUUCGGAAUUACUGGGCUUAAAGAGUUCGUAGGUGGUUGAAAUAGUUGGUGGUGAAAUCCCAGAGCUUAACUCUGGAACUGCCAUCAAAACUUUUCAGCUAGAGUUUGAUAGAGGAAAGCAGAAUUUCUAGUGUAGAGGUGAAAUUCGUAGAUAUUAGAAAGAAUACCAAUUGCGAAGGCAGCUUUCUGGAUCAUUACUGACACUGAGGAACGAAAGCAUGGGUAGCGAAGAGGAUUAGAUACCCUCGUAGUCCAUGCCGUAAACGAUGUGUGUUAGACGUUGGAAAUUUAUUUUCAGUGUCGCAGCGAAAGCAAUAAACACACCGCCUGGGGAGUACGACCGCAAGGUUAAAACUCAAAUGAAUUGACGGGGACCCGCACAAGUAGUGGAGCAUGUGGUUUAAUUCGAAGAUACGCGCAGAACCUUACCAACACUUGACAUGUUCGUCGCGACUUUAAGAGAUUAAAGUUUUCGGUUCGGCCGGACGAAACACAGGUGCUGCAUGGCUGUCGUCAGCUCGUGUCGUGAGAUGUUGGGUUAAGUCCCACAACGAGCGCAACCCUCACUUUUAGUUGCCAUCAUUAAGUUGGGCACUCUGAAAGAACUGCCAGUGAUAAGCUGGAGGAAGGUGGGGAUGA
RNAcentral lists this ribosomal RNA (794 nucleotides) under uncultured marine bacterium. RNAcentral describes it as "bacterial SSU rRNA". It matches the Rfam family "Bacterial small subunit ribosomal RNA", at positions 370 to 1182 of the family's 1533-position model. The record is from RNAcentral.